This 510-nucleotide ribosomal RNA is filed under the name uncultured bacterium. RNAcentral's name for it is "bacterial SSU rRNA". It matches the Rfam family "Bacterial small subunit ribosomal RNA", at positions 37 to 518 of the family's 1533-position model. The record is from RNAcentral.
UGGCGGCGUGCCUAAUACAUGCAAGUCGAACGGUCUUUCUAUGGAAGCUUGCUUCCACUGAGAAGAUAGUGGCGAACGGGUGGAGUAACACGUGGGUAACCUGCCCAUAAGAGGGGGGAUAACAUCCGGAAACGGGUGCUAAUACCGCAUAGUUUUCUUGAUCGCAUGAUCGGGAAAGGAAAGACGGCCUUUGUGCUGUCGCUUAUGGAUGGACCCGCGGCGUAUUAGUUAGUUGGUGAGGUAACGGCUCACCAAGACGAUGAUACGUAGCCGACCUGAGAGGGUGAUCGGCCACAUUGGGACUGAGACACGGCCCAAACUCCUACGGGAGGCAGCAGUAGGGAAUCUUCCGCAAUGGACGAAAGUCUGACGGAGCAACGCCGCGUGAGUGAAGAAAGGUUUUCGGAUCGUAAAACUCUGUUGUCAGAGAAGAACAAGUUGGAGAGUAACUGCUCCAGCCUUGACGGUAUCUGACCAGAAAGCCACGGCUAACUACGUGCCAGCCGCUGC